GAAAUGAGAAAGAAGUUUGAUGAUGGA
RNAcentral lists this non-coding RNA (27 nucleotides) under Mus musculus (house mouse). Lineage: Eukaryota; Metazoa; Chordata; Mammalia; Rodentia; Muridae. The record is from RNAcentral.